GACGAACGCUGGCGGCGUGCUUAACACAUGCAAGUCGAACGGAAAGGCCCUGCUUUUGUGGGGUGCUCGAGUGGCGAACGGGUGAGUAACACGUGAGUAACCUGCCCUUGACUUUGGGAUAACUUCAGGAAACUGGGGCUAAUACCGGAUAGGAGCUCCUGCUGCAUGGUGGGGGUUGGAAAGUUUCGGCGGUUGGGGAUGGACUCGCGGCUUAUCAGCUUGUUGGUGGGGUAGUGGCUUACCAAGGCUUUGACGGGUAGCCGGCCUGAGAGGGUGACCGGCCACAUUGGGACUGGGAUACGGCCCCGACUCCUACGGGAGGCAGCAGUGGGGAAUAUUGCACAAUGGGCGGAAGCCUGAUGCAGCAACGCCGCGUGCGGGAUGACGGCCUUCGGGUCGUAAACCGCUUUCGCCUGUGACGAAGCGUGAGUGACGGUAAUGGGUAAAGAAGCACCGGCUAACUACGUG
This 468-nucleotide ribosomal RNA is filed under the name uncultured bacterium. RNAcentral's name for it is "partial 16S ribosomal RNA". It matches the Rfam family "Bacterial small subunit ribosomal RNA", at positions 28 to 507 of the family's 1533-position model. The record is from RNAcentral.